GGGACACGUGGUAUCCUGUCUGAAUAUGGGGGGACCAUCCUCCAAGGCUAAAUACUCCUGACUGACCGAUAGUGAACCAGUACCGUGAGGGAAAGGCGAAAAGAACCCCGGCGAGGGGAGUGAAAAAGAACCUGAAACCGUGUACGUACAAGCAGUGGGAGCACGCUUAGGCGUGUGACUGCGUACCUUUUGUAUAAUGGGUCAGCGACUUAUAUUCUGUAGCAAGGUUAACCGAAUAGGGGAGCCGAAGGGAAACCGAGUCUUAACUGGGCGUUAAGUUGCAGGGUAUAGACCCGAAACCCGGUGAUCUAGCCAUGGGCAGGUUGAAGGUUGGGUAACACUAACUGGAGGACCGAACCGACUAAUGUUGAAAAAUUAGCGGAUGACUUGUGGCUGGGGGUGAAAGGCCAAUCAAACCGGGAGAUAGCUGGUUCUCCCCGAAAGCUAUUUAGGUAGCGCCUCGUGAAUUCAUCUCCGGGGGUAGAGCACUGUUUCGGCAAGGGGGUCAUCCCGACUUACCAACCCGAUGCAAACUGCGAAUACCGGAGAAUGUUAUCACGGGAGACACACGGCGGGUGCUAACGUCCGUCGUGAAGAGGGAAACAACCCAGACCGCCAGCUAAGGUCCCAAAGUCAUGGUUAAGUGGGAAACGAUGUGGGAAGGCCCAGACAGCCAGGAUGUUGGCUUAGAAGCAGCCAUCAUUUAAAGAAAGCGUAAUAGCUCACUGGUCGAGUCGGCCUGCGCGGAAGAUGUAACGGGGCUAAACCAUGCACCGAAGCUGCGGCAGCGACGCUUAUGCGUUGUUGGGUAGGGGAGCGUUCUGUAAGCCUGUGAAGGUGUGCUGUGAGGCAUGCUGGAGGUAUCAGAAGUGCGAAUGCUGACAUAAGUAACGAUAAAGCGGGUGAAAAGCCCGCUCGCCGGAAGACCAAGGGUUCC
RNAcentral lists this ribosomal RNA (937 nucleotides) under Escherichia coli. RNAcentral describes it as "partial 23S ribosomal RNA". It matches the Rfam family "Bacterial large subunit ribosomal RNA", at positions 419 to 1355 of the family's 2925-position model. The record is from RNAcentral. Lineage: Bacteria; Pseudomonadati; Pseudomonadota; Gammaproteobacteria; Enterobacterales; Enterobacteriaceae.